RNAcentral lists this ribosomal RNA (468 nucleotides) under uncultured bacterium. RNAcentral's name for it is "partial 16S ribosomal RNA". It matches the Rfam family "Bacterial small subunit ribosomal RNA", at positions 28 to 507 of the family's 1533-position model. The record is from RNAcentral.
GACGAACGCUGGCGGCGUGCUUAACACAUGCAAGUCGAACGGAAAGGCCCUGCUUUUGUGGGGUGCUCGAGUGGCGAACGGGUGAGUAACACGUGAGUAACCUGCCCUUGACUUUGGGAUAACUUCAGGAAACUGGGGCUAAUACCGGAUAGGAGCUCCUGCUGCAUGGUGGGGGUUGGAAAGUUUCGGCGGUUGGGGAUGGACUCGCGGCUUAUCAGCUUGUUGGUGGGGUAGUGGCUUACCAAGGCUUUGACGGGUAGCCGGCCUGAGAGGGUGACCGGCCACAUUGGGCCUGAGAUACGGCCCAGACUCGUACGGGAGGCAGCAGUGGGGAAUAUUGCACAAUGGGCGGAAGCCUGAUGCAGCAACGCCGCGUGCGGGAUGACGGCCUUCGGGUUGUAAACCGCUUUCGCCUGUGACGAAGCGUGAGUGACGGUAAUGGGUAAAGAAGCACCGGCUAACUACGUG